UUAAGCGACUAAGCGUACACGGUGGAUGCCCUGGCAGUCAGAGGCGAUGAAGGACGUGCUAAUCUGCGAAAAGCGACGGCGAGGUGAUAUGAACCUUUGACCCGUCGAUGUCCGAAUGGGGAAACCCAGUGUGUUUCGACACACUAUCGUUAACUGAAUACAUAGGUUAACGAGGCGAACCGGGGGAACUGAAACAUCUAAGUACCCCGAGGAAAAGAAAUCAACCGAGAUUCCCCCAGUAGCGGCGAGCGAACGGGGAGCAGCCCGGAGUCUGAAUCAGCUUGUGUGUUAGUGGAACGGUCUGGAAAGUCCGACGGUACAGGGUGAUAGUCCCGUACACGAAAACACACUUGCUGUGAACUCGAAGAGUAGGGCGGGACACGUGGUAUCCUGUCUGAAUAUGGGGGGACCAUCCUCCAAGGCUAAAUACUCCUGACUGACCGAUAGUGAACCAGUACCGUGAGGGAAAGGCGAAAAGAACCCCGGCGAGGGGAGUGAAAAAGAACCUGAAACCGUGUACGUACAAGCAGUGGGAGCACCUUCGGGUGUGACUGCGUACCUUUUGUAUAAUGGGUCAGCGACUUAUAUUCUGUAGCAAGGUUAACCGUAUAGGGGAGCCGAAGGGAAACCGAGUCUUAACUGGGCGUUAAGUUGCAGGGUAUAGACCCGAAACCCGGUGAUCUAGCCAUGGGCAGGUUGAAGGUUGGGUAACACUAACUGGAGGACCGAACCGACUAAUGUUGAAAAAUUAGCGGAUGACCUGUGGCUGGGGGUGAAAGGCCAAUCAAACCGGGAGAUAGCUGGUUCUCCCCGAAAGCUAUUUAGGUAGCGCCUCGUGAACUCAUCUUCGGGGGUAGAGCACUGUUUCGGCUAGGGGGCCAUCCCGGCUUACCAACCCGAUGCAAACUACGAAUACCGAAGAAUGUUAUCACGGGAGACACACGGCGGGUGCUAACGUCCGUCGUGAAGAGGGAAACAACCCAGACCGCCAGCUAAGGUCCCAAAGUCAUGGUUAAGUGGGAAACGAUGUGGGAAGGCACAGACAGCCAGGAUGUUGGCUUAGAAGCAGCCAUCAUUUAAAGAAAGCGUAAUAGCUCACUGGUCGAGUCGGCCUGCGCGGAAGAUGUAACGGGGCUAAACCAUGCACCGAAGCUGCGGCAGCGACACUUAUGUGUUGUUGGGUAGGGGAGCGUUCUGUAAGCCGUUGAAGGUGUGCUGUGAGGCAUGCUGGAGGUAUCAGAAGUGCGAAUGCUGACAUAAGUAACGAUAAAGCGGGUGAAAAGCCCGCUCGCCGGAAGACCAAGGGUUCCUGUCCAACGUUAAUCGGGGCAGGGUGAGUCGACCCCUAAGGCGAGGCCGAAAGGCGUAGUCGAUGGGAAACAGGUUAAUAUUCCUGUACUUGGUGUUACUGCGAAGGGGGGACGGAGAAGGCUAUGUCAGCCGGGCGACGGUUGUCCCGGUUUAAGCAUGUAGGCGGAGGUUCCAGGUAAAUCCGGUACCUUGUUAACGCUGAGGUGUGAUGACGAGGCACUACGGUGCUGAAGUGAUAAAUGCCCUGCUUCCAGGAAAAGCCUCUAAGCAUCAGGUAACACGAAAUCGUACCCCAAACCGACACAGGUGGUCAGGUAGAGAAUACCAAGGCGCUUGAGAGAACUCGGGUGAAGGAACUAGGCAAAAUGGUGCCGUAACUUCGGGAGAAGGCACGCUGAUAUGUAGGUGAAGCCCCUGCGGGCGGAGCUGAAAUCAGUCGAAGAUACCAGCUGGCUGCAACUGUUUAUUAAAAACACAGCACUGUGCAAACACGAAAGUGGACGUAUACGGUGUGACGCCUGCCCGGUGCCGGAAGGUUAAUUGAUGGGGUUAGCGGCAACGCGAAGCUCUUGAUCGAAGCCCCGGUAAACGGCGGCCGUAACUAUAACGGUCCUAAGGUAGCGAAAUUCCUUGUCGGGUAAGUUCCGACCUGCACGAAUGGCGUAAUGAUGGCCAGGCUGUCUCCACCCGAGACUCAGUGAAAUUGAACUCGCUGUGAAGAUGCAGUGUACCCGCGGCAAGACGGAAAGACCCCGUGAACCUUUACUAUAGCUUGACACUGAACACUGGUCCUUGAUGUGUAGGAUAGGUGGGAGGCUUUGAAGCGUGGACGCCAGUCUGCGUGGAGCCGUCCUUGAAAUACCACCCUUUAAUGGCUGGUGUUCUAACGUAGACCCGUGAUCCGGGUUGCGGACAGUGUCUGGUGGGUAGUUUGACUGGGGCGGUCUCCUCCCAAAGAGUAACGGAGGAGCACGAAGGUUGGCUAAUCCUGGUCGGACAUCAGGAGGUUAGUGCAAUGGCAUAAGCCAGCUUGACUGCGAGCGUGACGGCGCGAGCAGGUGCGAAAGCAGGUCAUAGUGAUCCGGUGGUUCUGAAUGGAAGGGCCAUCGCUCAACGGAUAAAAGGUACUCCGGGGAUAACAGGCUGAUACCGCCCAAGAGUUCAUAUCGACGGCGGUGUUUGGCACCUCGAUGUCGGCUCAUCACAUCCUGGGGCUGAAGUAGGUCCCAAGGGUAUGGCUGUUCGCCAUUUAAAGUGGUACGCGAGCUGGGUUUAGAACGUCGUGAGACAGUUCGGUCCCUAUCUGCCGUGGGCGCUGGAGAAUUGAGGGGGGCUGCUCCUAGUACGAGAGGACCGGAGUGGACGCAUCACUGGUGUUCGGGUUGUCAUGCCAAUGGCACUGCCCGGUAGCUAAAUGCGGAAGAGAUAAGUGCUGAAAGCAUCUAAGCACGAAACUUGCCCCGAGAUGAGUUCUCCCUGAGACUUUAAGUCUCCUGAAGGAACGUUGAAGACGACGACGUUGAUAGGUCGGGUGUGUAAGCGCAGCGAUGCGUUGAGCUAACCGAUACUAAUGAACCGUGAGGCUUAACCUU
Molecule: ribosomal RNA, 2903 nt
Filed under: Enterobacter cloacae
Lineage: Bacteria; Pseudomonadati; Pseudomonadota; Gammaproteobacteria; Enterobacterales; Enterobacteriaceae
Description: bacterial LSU rRNA
Rfam family: Bacterial large subunit ribosomal RNA
Source: RNAcentral